Molecule: long non-coding RNA, 522 nt
Organism: Astyanax mexicanus (Mexican tetra)
Lineage: Eukaryota; Metazoa; Chordata; Actinopteri; Characiformes; Acestrorhamphidae
Exons: 4
Source: RefSeq, a predicted model, not a curated record
UUGAUAACAGAUGGAUGUUGCUGUGCUGGUUAGAUUAGUAAAUUCUGGGGUUUGAUAACAGAUGGAUGGAGCUGUGCUGGUUAGAUUAGUAAAUUCUGGGGUUUGAUAACAGAUGGAUGGUGCUGUGCUGGUUAGAUUAGUAAAUUCUGGGGUUUCAUAACAGAUGGAUGGUGCUGUGCUGGUUAGAUUAGGAGGUUCUGGGGUUUGAUAACAGAUGGAUGGUGCUGUGCUGGUUAGAUUAGUAGGUUCUGGGGUUUGAUAACAGAUGGAUGGUGCUGUGCUGGUUAGAUUAGUAGGUUCUGGGGUUUGAUAACAGAUGGAUGGUGCUGUGCUGGUUAGAUUAGUAGGUUCUGGGGUUUGAUAACAGAUGGAUGGUGCUGUGCUGGUUAGAUUAGUAUGUUCUGGGGUUUGAUAACAGAUGUAUGGAGCUGUGCUGGUUAGAUUAGUAGGUUCUGGAGUUUGAUAACAGAUGGAUGGUGCUGUGCUGGUUAGAUUAGUAGGUUCUGGGGUUUGAUAACAGAU